CUACGGGAUGCUCCAGUAAGGAAUAUUGGUCAAUGGACGCAAGUCUGAACCAGCCAUGCCGCGUGAAGGAUUAAGGUCCUCUGGAUUGUAAACUUCUUUUAUUUGGGACGAAAAAGGGUCUUUCUAGACCAACUGACGGUACCAGAUGAAUAAGCACCGGCUAACUCCGUGCCAGCAGCCGCGGUAAUACGGAGGGUGCAAGCGUUAUCCGGAUUCACUGGGUUUAAAGGGUGCGUAGGCGGGUAGGUAAGUCAGUGGUGAAAUCCUAGAGCUUAACUCUAGAACUGCCAUUGAUACUAUCUAUCUUGAAUAUUGUGGAGGUAAGCGGAAUAUGUCAUGUAGCGGUGAAAUGCUUAGAUAUGACAUAGAACACCUAUUGCGAAGGCAGCUUACUACGCAUAUAUUGACGCUGAGGCACGAAAGCGUGGGGAUCAAACAGGAUUAGAUACCCGGGUAGUC
This 459-nucleotide ribosomal RNA is filed under the name uncultured bacterium. Its description in RNAcentral is "partial 16S ribosomal RNA". It matches the Rfam family "Bacterial small subunit ribosomal RNA", at positions 339 to 795 of the family's 1533-position model. The record is from RNAcentral.